Molecule: ribosomal RNA, 1531 nt
Filed under: Shigella flexneri
Lineage: Bacteria; Pseudomonadati; Pseudomonadota; Gammaproteobacteria; Enterobacterales; Enterobacteriaceae
Description: partial 23S ribosomal RNA
Rfam family: Bacterial large subunit ribosomal RNA
Source: RNAcentral
GGAGCAGCCCAGAGCCUGAAUCAGUGUGUGUGUUAGUGGAAGCGUCUGGAAAGGCGUGCGAUACAGGGUGACAGCCCCGUACACAAAAAUGCACAUACUGUGAGCUCGAUGAGUAGGGCGGGACACGUGGUAUCCUGUCUGAAUAUGGGGGGACCAUCCUCCAAGGCUAAAUACUCCUGACUGACCGAUAGUGAACCAGUACCGUGAGGGAAAGGCGAAAAGAACCCCGGCGAGGGGAGUGAAAAAGAACCUGAAACCGUGUACGUACAAGCAGUGGGAGCACGCUUAGGCGUGUGACUGCGUACCUUUUGUAUAAUGGGUCAGCGACUUAUAUUCUGUAGCAAGGUUAACCGAAUAGGGGAGCCGAAGGGAAACCGAGUCUUAACUGGGCGUUAAGUUGCAGGGUAUAGACCCGAAACCCGGUGAUCUAGCCAUGGGCAGGUUGAAGGUUGGGUAACACUAACUGGAGGACCGAACCGACUAAUGUUGAAAAAUUAGCGGAUGACUUGUGGCUGGGGGUGAAAGGCCAAUCAAACCGGGAGAUAGCUGGUUCUCCCCGAAAGCUAUUUAGGUAGCGCCUCGUGAAUUCAUCUCCGGGGGUAGAGCACUGUUUCGGCAAGGGGGUCAUCCCGACUUACCAACCCGAUGCAAACUGCGAAUACCGGAGAAUGUUAUCACGGGAGACACACGGCGGGUGCUAACGUCCGUCGUGAAGAGGGAAACAACCCAGACCGCCAGCUAAGGUCCCAAAGUCAUGGUUAAGUGGGAAACGAUGUGGGAAGGCCCAGACAGCCAGGAUGUUGGCUUAGAAGCAGCCAUCAUUUAAAGAAAGCGUAAUAGCUCACUGGUCGAGUCGGCCUGCGCGGAAGAUGUAACGGGGCUAAACCAUGCACCGAAGCUGCGGCAGCGACGCUUAUGCGUUGUUGGGUAGGGGAGCGUUCUGUAAGCCUGUGAAGGUGUGCUGUGAGGUAUGCUGGAGGUAUCAGAAGUGCGAAUGCUGACAUAAGUAACGAUAAAGCGGGUGAAAAGCCCGCUCGCCGGAAGACCAAGGGUUCCUGUCCAACGUUAAUCGGGGCAGGGUGAGUCGACCCCUAAGGCGAGGCCGAAAGGCGUAGUCGAUGGGAAACAGGUUAAUAUUCCUGUACUUGGUGUUACUGCGAAGGGGGGACGGAGAAGGCUAUGUUGGCCGGGCGACGGUUGUCCCGGUUUAAGCGUGUAGGCUGGUUUUCCAGGCAAAUCCGGAAAAUCAAGGCCGAGGCGUGAUGACGAGGCACUACGGUGCUGAAGCAACAAAUGCCCUGCUUCCAGGAAAAGCCUCUAAGCAUCAGGUAACAUCAAAUCGUACCCCAAACCGACACAGGUGGUCAGGUAGAGAAUACCAAGGCGCUUGAGAGAACUCGGGUGAAGGAACUAGGCAAAAUGGUGCCGUAACUUCGGGAGAAGGCACGCUGAUACGUAGGUGAAGCGACUUGCUCGUGGAGCUGAAAUCAGUCGAAGAUACCAGCUGGCUGCAACUGUUUAUUAAAAACAC